RNAcentral lists this long non-coding RNA (360 nucleotides) under Zea mays. RNAcentral describes it as "long non-coding RNA (ZMAY_LNC000794)". The record is from RNAcentral. Lineage: Eukaryota; Viridiplantae; Streptophyta; Magnoliopsida; Poales; Poaceae.
UUAUUAUAGGUUUGUCCGAUUUGCAAUAAUCACAAGGAGGGAGCAUCAAGUUUGCGGCGCUCGACUCGAGUUGAGUGAAGAAGAUCGAUACGCACCGAACUUUUGGUCGAGCACCUUGACGAAUGGCGCGAGGCAGUUGGUGGUGCAGGAGGCGUUGCUGAUGAUGGGCUCGUCGGGGUUGUACUGGUCGGCAUUGACGCCGACGACGUAGGUGGGGAUGUCGCCCUUGCCGGGCGCCGUGAUGAGCACCUUCUUGGCCCCCGCCUGGAUGUGCUUCCCCGCGCCCUCGCGGUCGACGAAGACGCCGGUGCCCUCGAUGACGAGGUCGAUGCCGAGCUCGCCCCACGGCAGGUUGCUGGG